This 1031-nucleotide ribosomal RNA is filed under the name Clavibacter sepedonicus. RNAcentral describes it as "bacterial SSU rRNA". It matches the Rfam family "Bacterial small subunit ribosomal RNA", at positions 49 to 1095 of the family's 1533-position model. Lineage: Bacteria; Bacillati; Actinomycetota; Actinomycetes; Micrococcales; Microbacteriaceae. The record is from RNAcentral.
UUACCAUGCAGUCGAACGGUGAUGUCAGAGCUUGCUCUGGCGGAUCAGUGGCGAACGGGUGAGUAACACGUGAGUAACCUGCCCCCGACUCUGGGAUAACUGCUAGAAAUGGUAGCUAAUACCGGAUAUGACGACUGGCCGCAUGGUCUGGUCGUGGAAAGAAUUUCGGUUGGGGAUGGACUCGCGGCCUAUCAGGUUGUUGGUGAGGUAAUGGCUCACCAAGCCUACGACGGGUAGCCGGCCUGAGAGGGUGACCGGCCACACUGGGACUGAGACACGGCCCAGACUCCUACGGGAGGCAGCAGUGGGGAAUAUUGCACAAUGGGCGCAAGCCUGAUGCAGCAACGCCGCGUGAGGGAUGACGGCCUUCGGGUUGUAAACCUCUUUUAGUAGGGAAGAAGCGAAAGUGACGGUACCUGCAGAAAAAGCACCGGCUAACUACGUGCCAGCAGCCGCGGUAAUACGUAGGGUGCAAGCGUUGUCCGGAAUUAUUGGGCGUAAAGAGCUCGUAGGCGGUUUGUCGCGUCUGCUGUGAAAUCCCGAGGCUCAACCUCGGGUCUGCAGUGGGUACGGGCAGACUAGAGUGCGGUAGGGGAGAUUGGAAUUCCUGGUGUAGCGGUGGAAUGCGCAGAUAUCAGGAGGAACACCGAUGGCGAAGGCAGAUCUCUGGGCCGUAACUGACGCUGAGGAGCGAAAGCAUGGGGAGCGAACAGGAUUAGAUACCCUGGUAGUCCAUGCCGUAAACGUUGGGAACUAGAUGUGGGGACCAUUCCACGGUCUCCGUGUCGCAGCUAACGCAUUAAGUUCCCCGCCUGGGGAGUACGGCCGCAAGGCUAAAACUCAAAGGAAUUGACGGGGGCCCGCACAAGCGGCGGAGCAUGCGGAUUAAUUCGAUGCAACGCGAAGAACCUUACCAAGGCUUGACAUAUACCGGAAACGUGCAGAGAUGUGCGCCCCGCAAGGUCGGUAUACAGGUGGUGCAUGGNNGUCGUCAGCUCGUGUCGUGAGAUGUUGGGGUNAGUCCCGCACGA